This 497-nucleotide ribosomal RNA is filed under the name uncultured bacterium. RNAcentral describes it as "partial 16S ribosomal RNA". It matches the Rfam family "Bacterial small subunit ribosomal RNA", at positions 28 to 507 of the family's 1533-position model. The record is from RNAcentral.
GAUGAACGAUGGCGGCGUGCCUAAUACAUGCAAGUCGAGCGAACAGACGAGGAGCUUGCUCCUCUGACGUUAGCGGCGGACGGGUGAGUAACACGUGGAUAGCCUACCUAUAAGACUGGGAUAACUUCGGGAAACCGGAGCUAAUACCGGAUAAUAUAUUGAACCGCAUGGUUCAAUAGUGAAAGACGGUUUUGCUGUCACUUAUAGAUGGAUCCGCGCCGCAUUAGCUAGUUGGUAAGGUAACGGCUUACCAAGGCAACGAUGCGUAGCCGACCUGAGAGGGUGAUCGGCCACACUGGAACUGAGACACGGUCCAGACUCCUACGGGAGGCAGCAGUAGGGAAUCUUCCGCAAUGGGCGAAAGCCUGACGGAGCAACGCCGCGUGAGUGAUGAAGGUCUUCGGAUCGUAAAACUCUGUUAUUAGGGAAGAACAAAUGUGUAAGUAACUAUGCACGUCUUGACGGUACCUAAUCAGAAAGCCACGGCUAACUACGUG